This 505-nucleotide ribosomal RNA is filed under the name uncultured bacterium. Its description in RNAcentral is "partial 16S ribosomal RNA". It matches the Rfam family "Bacterial small subunit ribosomal RNA", at positions 28 to 507 of the family's 1533-position model. The record is from RNAcentral.
GACGAACGCUGGCGGCGUGCCUAAUACAUGCAAGUAGAACGCACAGUUUAUACCGUAGCUUGCUACACCAUAGACUGUGAGUUGCGAACGGGUGAGUAACGCGUAGGUAACCUGCCUGGUAGCGGGGGAUAACUAUUGGAAACGAUAGCUAAUACCGCAUAAUAUUAAUUAUUGCAUGAUAAUUAAUUGAAAGGUGCAAUUGCACCACUACCAGAUGGACCUGCGUUGUAUUAGCUAGUAGGUGAGGUAACGGCUCACCUAGGCGACGAUACAUAGCCGACCUGGGAGGGGGAUCGGCCACACUGGGACUGAGACAAGGCCCAGACUCCUACGGGAGGCAGCAGUAGGGAAUCUUCGGCAAUGGACGAAAGUCUGACCGAGCAACGCCGCGGGAGUGAAGAAGGUUUUCGGAUCGUAAAGCUCUGUUGUAAGAGAAGAACGGGUGUGAGAGUGGAAAGUUCACACUGUGACGGUAUCUUACCAGAAAGGGACGGCUAACUACGUG